ACUGUUUUAAAGGAUAUUUGACAAACCAGUAUACACCGCCACUGUGGAAAAGCCUGUGCUGAUGUAAAAGAUGGCGACACAACAAACCGGUUUCAACGUUUCCAAAUAAACCUCAGAGCAAUGAAUCAAAGUGUUACUGAUUCCAGACAUCCUUCUUCACAGACCUGCGGAUGAGAUUACCGUGCUAUUCUAGAAAAAACUCUGAAUUGCUAGAACCUAUUGAUUAGCAGAGAAUUUAUAAUAUGUUGUUAUAAUAUUGUUUUUUAUUGUUAUUAUCUUGACUUAAAAAAAAUUAACUCAGGAAUUUCUAUGUGAUAUUUCAUUAAUCGGCAUCACCAAAUAUGCUACUUUUAUAUAUGAGAGAUAGGUUAAAAAUACACCUGUGUUUUUCUCCAGAUUACUUUUCAUGUGCUUCUGUCACAUUUGCUCUCAAAUGUUUUGUAAACUCUCUGAUCUAAAUCUGCUGUACAAAGUUCCACUGAAGAGCAGCAGCAGAGUUCAGGAGCAGGAUGAAGCUCCGGUGCUUGAGGAGUGACGAUGGAAAGAGAGAAAGGCAGAGUGGGAGAGUAGCUGCUAUACUUUCUGCUUCCUCAACUGAUCAGGGCAUCCUCCCAGUUUUCCUCCCUUAGAAUGCAUAUGAUGGGAAGGAAAAUGCUGCAGUUCUUUUCCCAUACCUUCUUCAACAAACUGCAGCUCUGCAUCUUCCUCCUCUGAAGGUAUGACUUGUGUAUGUGUAGGAAUGUAUACAUGUAUAUAUGUGUAUGCCUCUUCCUCCCUUUUUUUUCCCCCCUCCUUCCCUCUCUGACUGUAGCACUCAACCCGCCCGUCAUCCCCCACACCGCCACCGCCUCCCCCCAAACAUAGAAGCUGAAUCAGCGAGUCAGGCGUGCACCCGGCACACACGAUGGCUGCAGCAGCUGGAGCGCUCUCUAGGUCAUUAUGGCUCUCUUCACUACAGAAGAGGAGGGGAGGAGAAGAGGAGCAGCACGGAUGAAAAAAAAAUGAUUUGACAGGUAAUAUAUACUCUUCUUUGGCUUUUGGACGGAGUUUACCCCUGAUGGGCCUUGACGUCUCCUGUCCCAUCUCUUGCCUCCCUUCUUCUUCGGACGUGUUAGGCGCAUGGUUCGCCUCUAAGCCGCAUAGCCGAGAGAGGGAGUGGAAUGUACUGUUCUGCAGCAGCAGCAGCAUCACCAGGACGCAACUUAACCUGAGAAAGCACCUUUCGGGCUUUUAUCGUCUCCCGCGCUUGCUCCUUUUAUCUUUAAAGAACACAAUAAAUGAAGGCGUUAUAAAAGGAAAAAGUAUGGACAAAGAGAAGAUGCAGGUGGACUUGUAGAAAUAGAAGCUGGGGGAGUUGCUAUGGUCCACAUGGAUUUUAUCCCAGUUUUUUGCACUCUCCACUCUAUCUCCCUCAUCUUGCCCCCCCCACUCCUGCCUCCCUCUGUUGUCUUGCUCGCUCUCGCUCUCUUGUGUUCCUGGCACUGGCCGGACAUGCUGCAGCAGCAGAGCUCUUUGGCUCAUUAGGCUUCAUGGUUGCAGCUCUGCUGCUAUCUAAUGACGGACUUGUUAACUCAGACCUGCACGGGUGCGGAGAGACGAUGCACCCUCUGCAUCUGGCAGCUUUUACAGAUGUCUUGCCUCAAGGAUUCUAUAAUUACAUUCACUUCUGAAGUGUUGUUUGAAUUUCUUUUUGAAUGUUUAUACUUUUUUUUUUUUUUUUUAAACUAAAAACACUGGGUGUGGGUUUGAUCACCGGAGGUAAGUUGCCACACUUUCAGGACCAAGGUGUGCUGAUGGGGGCAGAAGGAUGGGAUGUGGCGACCAGAGAGGCAAAAGAAAGUAUGAGGAGUAAUGAGCAGCGGGCAGGUCAUGAGUCCUGGGGGGGGAGAAAAGCGGAUUGACGGCACACAGCUGUGAGCAGUGUCAUACAGAUGUGCAUGGAGGGAGGGGGACAGGCGACUGAGGAGGGGGUCAAUUUUGGCAGGAAUGGCCGGCUGAGUAAAUGUGUGUCACGGGAUAAACCUAAAGCAGUCGGGGCUGUAACCCAGUUUCCCCACUCCUCCUGCUGUGAGCUAGUCAGGGAAUGCAGGGUACAUGGUACUGCAGCAGACAUAGCAAGCGCCCGGCUAAUUUGCUGGUCUACCCCUGUGCGCGUAGGAAGGAAUUUCACCGCCCCUAUCUCCGUAUGCGCUCACCCUCUCGGGCAGCUGUGACAUUUCCUAAACAGAACGUCACACCUUCCGGACCGGGCUUCUCCACCUUCCCAGCCCUAUCUUUGUGCUGAGAACAGCUGUCACCUCCGCUCACACCUUCUCUCAUUACUAUUCCAAAACCCUUCCACUGCAAAAGCAUUGCACCACUGCUCCUUAAUUCAACUCUCUACCACACAGCCUCUGAACUUUAAAAACUAGGCUCCCUUAACCAACUGCCUUAGUGUUCAGCCUCGUUGUCAGUUUAGUGUGGUGGAAGGCAGCGUCAACUUGUGGAAUGUGCAGGUUUGGGGGUAAAGACUCAUUAGCGCGGCUGCUGAACAGUUCUCGCUGCCAUAUAAAUGCUCAAUGAUUUGCUCUGCAACGUAAGGUCUGGUUCAGGUACAAAGGGAGACUGGUGAAAUUGAGUGAGAAAGCAUAACCAUGUAAUGAUGAUCUAUGAAAUGAGGGGAGAGAGUGGGAGUAGAGGGGUGGGCAAUUUGGCAGGGAGGGGGGUGUACCGAGGACCAAUCCACAAGUGCUGAGUGGGCAUUAGCGGCUUCAUGUGACCUAUGGCCUGCCCGCACGCCUAAAGCCCAAAUCCUGCUCACAAUAGCUUCCUGUUCAACUUGGAUCACUGUCGCUUUCAAACAUCAGCAAGCACUCCAGAAAGCCACAGGGGGGACGCCGCUGACGCUAGUGAGAUAAGGUCCGGCGUUAGAGUUGUGGUGUUAGAGCUCUGGUGCAACAGCAUUGGGACAGAAAAUGGUCUGAAAAUUGGGGCAACAAAACCUCAGCGAAGAAGUCAGAUUCGCAUGCAAGUGGGCGGAGAGAAGCGGAAACGUUCAGUCCAUCAGCGGGACUCUUCAUAUAUAGGCACAUCGACGCUGCUGCCAGGAAACAUCAAACAAUGGAAACUCCUACUCAUAAUUCAUGAACAUUUUUCUUCUUUUUUUUGUCUCUUUUGUCUCUUCAAGAAUUCCCGCCCGUAAAAUACUGCAACUGCUCUUCUCUCAAACUUGCAGACCAGUCACAGCUGCCUUGAGGACAAGCAUUGGGAUUUGUCGGGACGGUUGACUAUGGUAUGGACUGCAAAGUUUCUGUUGCAUUCAGGGGCGGGGGGACAGACUGCUCAGCCUUACAUGGCAACCAAAGGAAAGCCUUGAGUGUUGAAGUGAAUCUACACUCAAAGUCACCUUACAGUGCACACUACCAUACUUGGGAGAGUGGAACAGUGGGAGAAAAAAAAAAAAAAAACGUUCUGCUCCCAACUUCCUGACCUUGGCAAUAAAAAAGGUACACUCUGAAACAAUGCUUUGCUAAAGCUGGUAAAAUGGAACCAAAUCACCUCUUGAAUGGAUUUGGUCCCCUUCAACCAGCUGUAGCUAUGCUUUGAUGACUACAGGAGCCAGGAUUGGGUUUGACACCUUCAACAGUGUAAGAACAGCACUAUUAUCAUCUGGUAUGUUUGGUGACUGUAACAUCUGUCCCUUUUUUUUAUAAUAAUAAAAAAACACUGAUCCACAUGCAAAA
Molecule: long non-coding RNA, 3722 nt
Organism: Gambusia affinis (western mosquitofish)
Lineage: Eukaryota; Metazoa; Chordata; Actinopteri; Cyprinodontiformes; Poeciliidae
Exons: 2
Source: RefSeq, a predicted model, not a curated record